CGGUUCACUUUAACCUAACGAAGGGAUAUGAAUCGUCAUGAACGGAGUCUCCAUGCGCGGCCAUGAGCGUAAAAAUGGAGCUUCUCGGCGUUCAUAGAUCCACGUUCUCCAUUCUUGUCUCAAAUCCUCGAUACAAAGCCUCAUCACCACGAAUUCAAUGAUGAUAUCCCUAAUUGCGUCUAAGCUCAACGAAUUGAUCGAAACCGAAACGAAAUCACGAUGCAAAAACGAGACAAAACAUGGAUUGAAGUAGGAAGAACUCACCAGACUCACUCUUCGAUUCGAGCAGUUUAUAGGCGUUGCGUGAACUCUGGUGCAACUGGGGAGGAGUGAGAUAAGAACGUGAUGCAGAAUCCGGAUUGAAGAUGAAACUUGGAAAAUGUUGAAGAAAUCAAUUGGAGAGUGAAGGUUGGAUCGAGUUUUAGGCGUGAAGAAGAAGACAAAAAAUGAAGACUGAAUGUAAGGUCAUGGUUGUUAUGGUGAGGUGGAUUGGGUUUUCAUGGAUGCUGUUAUGCUCGUUUUGGCUUAGGUUCGGUAGGCUUGUAAUAGAUCUCGCCUUGCUGGUGUGGGAUGCUUAUGGAUGUCGGUUUACUCGAUGACUUGCAAGGGCUGGGUUCAAUCGAACAUAUGCAAGGCGAUGCUUGUUGGACGUAUAUGAGGCAAUGUUAUGUGGUGCAUCAGACCUGCUAUGGUCCGGUUGUGCAGAAACUAAUUCCAUGCUUGCUUAUAUGCAUUGGCUUGUUUGAAAAGAAUUGAACAGUACAUCAACUGACAUGCUUAGGAACUGUUUUGAAAUGUCAAUUAUUUAUGUCAAUGAAGGUGAAUGUUAAUGUUAUUGAAUGCUUGGUAUUGAGAUGCAGGAAAUGGAUUAAAUGGAUUUGUUCGGACCAAUUGUGUUUGAAUCAUGUUUAGCCCCUUCACAGAGUGAUGGAUCAAAGCAUUAAUUGGAAUGGAUUGGCAAGGAGGGUAAUCAUAGGCCAUGCUUGGAAUUUGUUAUGUUUAGAUUAUAAUUUUAUAGUUUUUGGAUUUGGCUAUGGUGAUGUAUUUGCACAUGGUUUUUGAUGUAAUCGAAUGUUUAAUGGUUAAUGUGUGGAGGAGUGAAAUAUUGUUAUGGAAUUUGGGUUUAUGGGAAUGGAUUAGAAUUUGGACAUGAGAUCAUUAUAGUGUAAUGUUGAAAAUUGAUUUAUGAAGUGUAAUGUAAUAAGGAUGGUUGAGAUGUUAUGUGUAAUACAUUUGGAUUGGUACCGGUUAUGUAAAGAUAAUUUGAAUGGA
Molecule: long non-coding RNA, 1272 nt
Organism: Lathyrus oleraceus (garden pea)
Lineage: Eukaryota; Viridiplantae; Streptophyta; Magnoliopsida; Fabales; Fabaceae
Exons: 4
Source: RefSeq, a predicted model, not a curated record